CUACGGGAGGCAGCAGUGGGGAAUAUUGGACAAUGGGGGAAACCCUGAUCUAGCCAUGCCGCGUGGACGAUGAAGGCCUUAGGGUUGUAAAGUCCUUUCAGCUGGGAAGAUAAUGACGGUACCAGCAGAAGAAGCCCCGGCUAACUCCGUGCCAGCAGCCGCGGUAAUACGGAGGGGGCUAGCGUUGUUCGGAAUUACUGGGCGUAAAGCGCACGUAGGCGGACUAUUAAGUCAGGGGUGAAAUCCCGGGGCUCAACCCCGGAACUGCCUUUGAUACUGGUAGUCUAGAGUUCGAGAGAGGUGAGUGGAACUCCGAGUGUAGAGGUGAAAUUCGUAGAUAUUCGGAAGAACACCAGUGGCGAAGGCGGCUCACUGGCUCGAUACUGACGCUGAGGUGCGAAAGUGUGGGGAGCAAACAGGAUUAGAAACCCCGGUAGUCC
RNAcentral lists this ribosomal RNA (440 nucleotides) under uncultured bacterium. RNAcentral's name for it is "bacterial SSU rRNA". It matches the Rfam family "Bacterial small subunit ribosomal RNA", at positions 339 to 796 of the family's 1533-position model. The record is from RNAcentral.